AAUUAAUAAGCAUUUAGCAUUAUAUUUUGAAAAUAUAAAUAUAGAAAUAAAAUUUCUAUUAAUUU
RNAcentral lists this transfer RNA (65 nucleotides) under Platygaster sp. ZJUH_2016029. RNAcentral's name for it is "tRNA-Ser". Lineage: Eukaryota; Metazoa; Arthropoda; Insecta; Hymenoptera; Platygastridae. The record is from RNAcentral.